This is a long non-coding RNA of Cynoglossus semilaevis (tongue sole), 3360 nucleotides long. RefSeq lists it as uncharacterized. Lineage: Eukaryota; Metazoa; Chordata; Actinopteri; Pleuronectiformes; Cynoglossidae. The transcript is spliced from 3 exons. The record is from RefSeq and is a predicted model, not a curated record.
GCAUGUACACAUGUACACAUGUACACAUGUACACAUGUACACAUGUACACAUGUACACAUGUACACAUGUACACAUGUAGCCCAGGUGUAUUAGUAUGAUCAUUCACAGGAGCAGGAAGCCAAAUUGAAGGGUUUCACCGUCCUCUGCAUGCUUCUGUAGAUGACAGGGCGAAUAUGUCUCAACACAGUUUAUAGCUGCGCUUUUAAGUUAGCAACUAACAAUAGCUGUAGGCUGGAGAGAAUCAAAGACUGAAGACUGACUGACUGACUCUCCAGAACAAACAGGCUGAAAGCUGCAGCACUGAGUGAGGCCUUCGUCAGGCAGGGUGGAUCCAGAGGUGGAUGGAGAUGUGUGUGUGUGUGUGUGUGGGGGGGGGGGGUAAGGACUUGAAAGCACAUACCAGUAGGAGAGCACUUGGAAAAUAAUGACUCUGUCUAUGUGCUGGAGUGGGCUGUUAUUCAUACGUGUUACUCAUUGAUCCAGACAACCAGAGGGAGUGGUGUGCAAGCCAGGGAAUGGCUCCAGCAACCCAGUGGACAUGAGUGAACACGGGUUCACACACACACACACACACACACACACACAUAUAUAUACAAACAAACUUUUUCAUAUUAACUAUCAAAGUCCAAGUCGACAUGUGCCGGAAGGACAAAAAGUCACUGGGUUUGUUUGUAUAUGUGUGUGUGUGUGUGUGUGUGUGUGAAAAGCAAAGAUAUUUGCGUACAAAACAUACAAAAACACACAAAGACUGCCCUUCCUCUCUCUAAGUCAGCCCUCCACGUCCCCCAUGCUUGUCCAAACACUCCUCCGUCUUUGACAACACACCACACACACACACACACACACACACACUAUGACACACGCGCUUUGUUAUUAGACAGUACCCGGAGUGUAGCCCUGACAAAGAAUGUGACAGCUCCACACACGUCGCACGGCACAGGGAGAACACACUACACACACACACUGGGAAGGAGGCGCAGGAGGAGGCGUAGGAGUGGAGGCAGCAUGACCCAACAUGCACCUGGCUCUGACAGAAAACCGUCCGACGCUCCAUCGCACAAAGACUCAGAGGAGAAGAGCGGGGAAGGCCGGCAUUCCGGGGGAGAGGGUUGUGUACACGGGACUGAGCCGGGGCUUAGACGCAGAAAGACCCGGAGACAGAGACGGAGGGCAGAAGGAGGGCGGGGGGUCGGGAGGGCCACAGGAGAUGAUGGGGGUGAUAGUGAGCAGAAGUGGAAAAGAUGAGGGCAACAGGACAAAAGACAGCUGAUAGGUGUGUGUGUGUGUGUGUCUGGUGUCCCGUCUUCACUGGCGGUCCAGUGUGGACACCUGCAGCUCAUCACUGCUCUGUGUGGAGGGUCCAGUGGUAGGACAGUUGGACAAACUUCUGUGACCGUCUGACCCUCAGAGAGCCUGGAUCCAGCCAGCAGUCCCCGCGCACACUUAACCACUGGGUCUUUUGUAGAUGUGAAGGAGAGACAUAACUCAUGUCGUUCUUCAGGAUGUACAAGUGAGGAGGAGUGAAGGAACUGGGCCGUAAACGGGUCAGCGAGGCACUGAUUUACGGUACAAGCAAACUGUCUCCUGAUGGCGAUGUCAUCACAGUACGGCCGUCGCUGCACAUAUAUAUCUCCUCUUUGCUAAUAUGCUUCGUUACAGAUCAGCUUCAGCCUGGAGAUGUUCAGCAGAGACCUGCAGAGAUCAUCUGUCCUCCCUUCCUUCCUUCCUUUCUUCCUUCCUUCCUUCUCAGCCUCAGGAGUUCAAAGCUGAUAGAAAAGCUUUAUGACCACACCCACAGACAGAUCAGUGUGUCAGGCCCUUUUCAUUCUUGCCAUCAGUUAUGGGGUGAGGGCGGGGUACAAACCUGGAUGGACUGGACCACCAGUCCAUCACAGAGCCACAUAUUAAGACUAAAGACUGAAUAUAAAGAGCUAACACACUGUGGUCAUGUAUAUUAUUAGACUGAGGAGGAAUUGAAGAGAACAUACAAACUAGAUACAGAAAGAGGCUUGAACUGAUGACCUUUGUACUGUAAGGCAAAAACACUAACCGCUGCUUCAUUGCGUAGCUGUGGCUUUUUUUUAAUCAAAUAUAAAUUCUAAAGACAGAGAGAGGAAGGAAUAAUUCUCAACCUUGGGAGAGCAGAAAGUUACUGCUAUUAAACAUUUACUCAGGUUAUUUUUUACUCCUGCUUAUCUCUUUAUCAUUGCUUUUCCAGCACACUGAGUCACACACACACACUCAUGCACUGAUACACGAUGUAAAACUUCACUCUGCUCACCCUCUGACUGUCACUGAAGUAUAACUUCGUUUGUCAAACGAUCGUUUUUACACAGGAAGUCACUGACCUGUGUACGAAGACUUCUUCAUCGUCUCUUCUCUCUGUGCUUCUCAGUCUGAAGAUUGUAACAGUUGACUGUUGUGCAUCCGUAACGUUUCCAGGUUCGUGUCCUCUGUCUCUGUCUUUCCCUCUGGCUCUCCUUCCUUCUCGACCACUCCUCGACGACCAGCUUUCCAAACACACCUGAGGGCAGCGCCAACCACUUGGAGGGACAGUCUUCUGGGAACGAGGACUCCAAUCACACCUGCGCUCCUGACGCACGCCCAGUCCAGCAGCGGGAGUGGUUUACUGCGGGGGUUUUCUCACAUUAAAAAGCUCGGAAGUGGGAUGAAGAGGGUUUUCUGGGAAUAAUGUCAGGGCUUGCGGCUGAACUGAGCUCUGUCUAAGAGUAAAUAAACGCCUUUGGAAGCGCAGUAAUCCCCAAAUUCAACAGGUCUGGUCUGUUGCGCAACUUGGAAGGCGUGGAAGUGGAUGUUAACUGUCACCGAUGAUCAGACAUGAUAAUCAUCACUGUUAAAAUGAAUAAUAGCAGGGCACACGUGCACUGAUCGGUCUAUUUAUGAGCACACGCUGUCAUUUUCUUUGUGUGUUUUCAGGCAGUUGUCUGUAUGUAGUACAGUUAGGGUAUGCAGUUUCGACAGGAUGCACAUAAACACAGGAGUAACAGUAGAAAAAGAGCAGCGAGAAUCGAACCAAACACCUACUUGCUGUUAGGCGAGAGCACCAGCCACACUUCCACUAUACAGUACAGCCUCAUGAAGUAUGUUUUUUUUCCCUAUCUCUCUGCUACAAAUAAACCAUAGCAUCAUCUAGAUGUUAUUUUAUAAACAACUAAGUCAACUAAACAUUGCUCCACAGAAUGGGGACAAAGCAGCAAAAAUAGAUUAAGAAAAAUAAGACAAAAAUAUGUUUAUAUUUUAAAACGUAUUUUACACGUGGCAUAAUAAGACCAAAAUAUUCACUGUAUUCCAUGUUCCGGUACAGAGAGACUGAAGGUCACAAAACAUCUGUAAACUCA